UACGAAGGGGCUAGCGUUGCUCGGAAUUACUGGGCGUAAAGCGCACGUAGGCGGCUUUCUAAGUCGGGGUGAAAUCCUGGAGCCCAACUCCAGAACUGCCUUCGAUACUGGAGAGCUUGAGUCCGGGAGAGGUGAGUGGAACUGCGAGUGUAGAGGUGAAAUUCGUAGAUAUUCGCAAGAACACCAGUGGCGAAGGCGGCUCACUGGCCCGGUACUGACGCUGAGGUGCGAAAGCGUGGGAGCAACAGG
Molecule: ribosomal RNA, 249 nt
Filed under: uncultured bacterium
Lineage: Bacteria
Description: partial 16S ribosomal RNA
Rfam family: Bacterial small subunit ribosomal RNA
Source: RNAcentral